AUUGAACGCUGGCGGCAGGCUUAACACAUGCAAGUCGAGCGGGGGAAGGUAGCUUGCUACCGGACCUAGCGGCGGACGGGUGAGUAAUGCUUAGGAAUCUGCCUAUUAGUGGGGGACAACAUCUCGAAAGGGAUGCUAAUACCGCAUACGUCCUACGGGAGAAAGCAGGGGAUCUUCGGACCUUGCGCUAAUAGAUGAGCCUAAGUCGGAUUAGCUAGUUGGUGGGGUAAAGGCCUACCAAGGCGACGAUCUGUAGCGGGUCUGAGAGGAUGAUCCGCCACACUGGCACUGAGACACGGCCCAGACUCCUACGGGAGGCAGCAGGGGGGAAUAUUGGACAAUGGGGGGAACCCUGAUCCAGCCAUGCCGCGUGCGUGAAGAAGGCCUUAUGGUUGUAAAGCACUUUAAGCGAGGAGGAGGCUACUCUAGUUAAUACCUAGGGAUAGUGGACGUUACUCGCAGAAUAAGCACCGGCUAACUCUGUGCCAGCAGCCGCGGUAA
This 501-nucleotide ribosomal RNA is filed under the name uncultured bacterium. RNAcentral describes it as "partial 16S ribosomal RNA". It matches the Rfam family "Bacterial small subunit ribosomal RNA", at positions 30 to 523 of the family's 1533-position model. The record is from RNAcentral.